This 253-nucleotide ribosomal RNA is filed under the name uncultured bacterium. RNAcentral describes it as "partial 16S ribosomal RNA". It matches the Rfam family "Bacterial small subunit ribosomal RNA", at positions 524 to 776 of the family's 1533-position model. The record is from RNAcentral.
GACGGGGGGGGCAAGUGUUCUUCGGAAUGACUGGGCGUAAAGGGCGCGUAGGCGGCCUGGCAAGUGGAAGGUGAAAUCCCUCGGCUUAACCGAGGAACUGCCCUCCAAACUGCUUGGCUUGAGUCCGGGAGAGGUGAGUGGAAUUCCCAGUGUAGCGGUGAAAUGCGUAGAUAUUGGGAGGAACACCAGUGGCGAAGGCGGCUCACUGGACCGGAACUGACGCUGAGGCGCGAAAGCGUGGGGAGCAAACGGG